GCAGACACAUUACAGCCAAUCAGCAGCAGACCCUCCCUCCCAGACCCUCCCAACUCCUGGACAGCAUCCAUUUUACAUUCAUUGUGAAGCUGCAUUCUUAGUGAGCUGUCCAGGAGGUGGGAGGGUCUGGGAGGGAGGGUCUGAUGCUGAUUGGCUGGAAUGUGUCU
Molecule: microRNA precursor, 167 nt
Filed under: Pelobates cultripes (western spadefoot toad)
Lineage: Eukaryota; Metazoa; Chordata; Amphibia; Anura; Pelobatidae
Source: RNAcentral